Long non-coding RNA from Brassica rapa (field mustard), 388 nucleotides. RefSeq lists it as uncharacterized. Lineage: Eukaryota; Viridiplantae; Streptophyta; Magnoliopsida; Brassicales; Brassicaceae. The record is from RefSeq and is a predicted model, not a curated record.
AGGCAGGGUCUUCUCAGGGGAUUGAGUGACUUGACCAUAUUGUGCUACCCACAUUUCUUCCUCCUUUGAAGGAGCAUCUACAAAUGAAAACUACGAGCUAUCAAAGCUAUGAAUAUGCGUUGAAACCAGCAUAUCAUCGAAACAACAAGGUUCCCUUAACAAUACUACAGGCUAGUUAAUCAUUUUAUUGGGAUAAUGAUUUUGAAAGCAAAUGAGAAGAACAUAAUUAAAAUAGAAAAACCUUGAUCAAAGUUGUCUUCAUGUGGUUCAAAAUCUUCUUCAGGAAUCCAUUCUCCCUCUUCGAGUUCCUCAUCAUCAUCGUCUCCUGAAAAACAGACCCAAUUUGUAGCCCCUCUCCUCAAAUUCGAAAAUGAAGGAGCAGAUUCAU